UUUUCUGUGCUGGUGUUGUGUACUCAGGUGAAUAUGAUAUGUUUGUGAUGUUAACAUCAUAUUCACCUGAGUACACAACACCAGCACAGAAAA
This is a non-coding RNA of Paramuricea clavata, 93 nucleotides long. The record is from the annotation of a GenBank genome assembly. NCBI's taxonomy places the organism in Eukaryota, Metazoa, Cnidaria, Anthozoa, Malacalcyonacea, Plexauridae.